Molecule: long non-coding RNA, 1851 nt
Organism: Scophthalmus maximus (turbot)
Lineage: Eukaryota; Metazoa; Chordata; Actinopteri; Pleuronectiformes; Scophthalmidae
Exons: 2
Source: RefSeq, a predicted model, not a curated record
CACGUUUAAAAAACACUUGUUGAAACAUGUGGCUCAUGUUAUUGUUUCAGCAAAUUCCGUUUUUGGUCUGACUGGUUGUAUCUGUAUUGGACGGAUCUCGAUCCGAGAGUUAAAAUCUGGGAGGAUGAGGUCCACAAAAAGUGUAGAUGAUGAUACAGGAUGGCACGAAUAAUUAAUGACAUUUCUGUUUCAAAAUAUAUCCGUGCGUUUUUAAUGGCACAGAGUAAAAAUGGAAAGAACAUGACAGGGCUUCGUUUUUUUGUCACUGCCCGAUUUUAGUGAACUGCUGUUUCUGUCAGGAAUGGAAAUGAACUUGGUGAUACAGAAAUAUAAGCAUAAUUUAUUUCCUCAAGAAGAGAGAAAGGCCACGUCAUGGAGAAGAAGAGCUGGAACUUAACUUUUAUCUGGUACAUGAGGAAGAACCUGCGUGUGGGAGGAGGAUGACGACAUGGGUGAGGUGGAAAGAACGCUCACACACUGAAUGAGGGGAAACCUAUGCAACUUAAUGGGUUUGCUGUGUGUGUGUGUGUGUGUGUGUGUGUGUGUGUGUGUGUGUGUGUGUGUGUGUGUGUGUGUGUGUGUGUGUGCGUGUGUGCGUGUGUGCGUGCGUGUUGCUGCUGCACUCACAGGUAGUUUGCCAGGUUGUGCUCUUGUAAGGUGUGAGUCUCGAACCCGUGAGGAGUCCGGUCAAAGUAGUCGUUGCCGAUUCCACAGAUGAAGCAUUUGGUCUGAAAGAAGAAGAAGAGUGGAUGUUUACACUUCCAUACAGGAAGUUCCACUGACACACAAGACUCUUAUUAAUGCUGUAUUCAGUUUAUAGGUUUAUGACUAAGGCUACAACCAUACUUAUGUUUUAGCUCAGUAUCAUUAAUCAUCCCCGACCAUACUAACACACCCGAGAAGGCACGUCACCUGACUGCUCUGUUUUUAUACAAGUUUAUGAGAAAAUUAAUCCACUUCUCACUUGAUUUAUAACGUCAUUAAACAUUUUAUCGUUCAAUCUCUAGUUUCAAGUCUUCUUCAAUACAGCGUGAUGUUCAUUUCGUAAAUCCAGUUCUCAUUUAGAGUUAAAUAGACGAUAAAGCACUGCAUGCAUUGUAGCGUGGAUAGUGUGAUUGACAGCUGGUCCAUGUUGCAUAACCCUGAUUCCUGGAGCCACCACCUUCACGAGAUCCACACCAAAGUGUAUUGGGUUCGCCCCUCUACCAAGUUCAGUGUGAAUCACUUCAGUAAGUUUUGCAUAAUCUUGAUGAGAAAGAAAGAAAUGAACCAACAUUAUCUCCUCAUGUUACACAGGCAUCCAAAGCUCUGUGAUAUUCUCCACUCUGUGUUUGGAGAAGUCAGUCUUUCCUCUGUUGACAAAUGAAUUUUGCACCCGAUGCCCAUUUUUGUUCCAAAAGUCUGUCUGUUCAAAUUAUUACUGGGAUGACAUCGUGCAGUCUGCACCUGACCUCAGAUGUUGAGAUUCCCAAGCCGAUCUUAUACAUCAUGCACUAUCAUCAGGGAGGCAUCUGAUCUGCCACAGAUUCAUUAUUCACUCUGCCACGUGACGACGAGGCCGAAACCUACAGUUUCAUAAAGAACCGUCUUCAGAGUAACGAGUGGAACAAGGAGUCCUGCAGCAGAUGGUCCGACUCCCACGGAGCUCUGAUCCCAACUUCACAGACUCAGAGUCUCUCGGUGUGAGAUCACAUGAAGAGACUGAGACGGACUGAACCCACUGAAGAACCGUGGAGCACGGAGAGUGGGCACGGUUUUAAAUACAAACACUGAUCUAAUUUACAGGAUGUAUUUGUGUGUUUACUGCACUUUGUUUAUGAAUUUGAACUGAAAUAAAAACUAUUCACUAUA